AUGAAUGCGCGUCUCAUCAGGCCUUAUUCAAGAGAGGAGGUGAAAAAAGCUCUUGAGUCAAUUGGAGACCUGAAAGCACCGGGACCGGAUGGUAUGCCUGCUGUGUUUUAUAAGAAGUUCUGGGAGCUGGUGGGAAUGAAGGUGCAAGAAGAGGUGUUGGGGGUGCUUAAUGGUAAUCCUAUGCCCGAGUCAUGGAAUGAAACCACCAUCGUCUUGAUACCACAGAAUAAUAAUCCUGAGAGGGGCAUCCAAAUCUGUAAUGGGGCGCCAAAGAUAAACCAUCUCUUCUUUGCAGAUGAUUCCCUUAUUGUGAUGAAGGCAACUACUCAAGGUGCACCUAGACUGCAGUCUAUCUUGGCUUUAUACGAGUCCCAAUCAGGUCAAAUGAUAAAUAAGAAUAAGUCGUCGGCAACCUUCAACAAGGGCACAACAGCAGCGGUUAAAAGUGAGGACGAUCUGUGGAUUCCGCGGGGAGAGACGAGGAGGCCGCGAACUCGUCGGGGCAGCGUGCAGAUUGAUCGAGCUAGUGAUCUAAUGGAUCCAUUCACCGAAAAUUGGGAUGAAGAUCUAGUCAAGGAGCUGUUCUGCCAGGAGAACACAAAGGAGAUAUUGGCAAUCCCAGUGAAGCAUGGCAUGGAUGACCAAGUUGCAUGGCACUUUGACCCAAAAGGAGUGUUCUCUGUUAAGUCUGCCUACCACUUGGGGAUCAGGCUUAGGGAGACAAACAAAAACAGAGAUGUGAGCCCCUGGGUACCGGCACCUGCGGAAUCGCAGAAGUGA
Molecule: ribosomal RNA, 780 nt
Filed under: Triticum aestivum (bread wheat)
Lineage: Eukaryota; Viridiplantae; Streptophyta; Magnoliopsida; Poales; Poaceae
Description: partial small subunit ribosomal RNA
Source: RNAcentral